RNAcentral lists this ribosomal RNA (355 nucleotides) under uncultured Racocetra. RNAcentral describes it as "SSU rRNA". It matches the Rfam family "Eukaryotic small subunit ribosomal RNA", at positions 569 to 929 of the family's 1831-position model. Lineage: Eukaryota; Fungi; Glomeromycota; Glomeromycetes; Diversisporales; Gigasporaceae. The record is from RNAcentral.
AGCAGCCGCGGUAAUUCCAGCUCCAAUAGCGUAUAUCAAAGUUGUUGCAGUUAAAAAGCUCGUAGUUGAAUUUCGGGGUUCUACCGUUGGUCGGGCUUUGUCUGUACUGGCGUGUAGAAUUUCUACCUUCUGGGGAACCAUCAUGUUAUUAAUUUAAUGUGGUGGGAAACCAGGACCUUUACCUUGAAAAAAUUAGAGUGUUCAAAGCAGGCUUAUGUCUGAAUACAUUAGCAUGGAAUAAUAAAAUAGAACGGCAUGGUUCUAUUUUGUUGGUUUCUAGGAUCACCGUAAUGAUUAAUAGGGAUAGUUGGGGGCAUUAGUAUUCAAUUGUCAGAGGUGAAAUUCUUGGAUUUAU